UACCUGCAAACAUUCAUUUUCUCGCUGGAUAAGUCACUGUCCCUCCCCGCUGUCAGCCUGGCGCUGGAAGCGUAACCCAUCCUUCUCCAGCCCUAGGAAGGACCCAGUUCAAAGGCUGCACACCAGGCUCCGGGCUGGGGAUGGUAUUACAGUAAUCAGAGAAACCGAGGUCAGCCAGCUUGUAAAACUGCCUGAGCCGGUCGUCUGUGUGCUGCGCUUGCGAGACUGACAGAAAGGUCAGUCUUUCUAGCAAGAAACUUAGUAACAAGAAGAAAAACGAGGCCUUAUGAUGAUCCCAUGACUGGAGCAAAAGCAGAGGCUGCACGACGGUUGCUGCUGCUGGUGGUUGCCCCUCGCCUGCUGCUACAGCAAAGCCUGCGUGCCAGCCAGCUCCCUAAAGAAGAGAAGCCCCGCUCAGACACAGGCUGUGCUCGGUGCAGGUACCAGUGCAACGCGUGGGCGCAGCGAAAAGCCGUCUCGGGUAUUUCACAUCCCUGCUCCUACCUGCCUCCCUCCCUCCACCUCUGCGCCUGUGCUGGUGACUUGCUGAAAGAAAGAAAACCCGAUAGUCGGAGCUGCUUCAUUUUAAAUUGUCCUUUGCAGUGCCUCUCUCACCUACUCCGGUACGUCAAGCAAUUCAAGCCAGGGUUAUAGUGAAGAACAGGAAGGAAAUUUAAGAUGUUGGUCCCCAGCUGUCGGAGCCACGCUGCUGUGGUCCUUCUUCCCCCCCACCCUCCAGCUCCAUGUUCCUGCCUCGUCUCUUGACCCGGCAGCGAUGCUUGAUGCGUGCUGGUUCAGGGGGUAAAACUAGCAGAAAACCGGCAUUAAGAAGAAGGGACAAAUUUCUGCUGGUUGAGCUGAGCAGGCUCAAAUCAGACUGGACAAACUAUUUAACUGCGCUAAGGUGCGUCCUUAGAGCACAGAUAAGGGCCAGGGGCCAUGCAAGGGCAGCGAAGCCUUUUCCUCUAAACCCCUGGAGGGAUAAAUUCCCAUGGCGAAGUGACCCUCCCUUUGCUUCCCAUGGAAAGGAUAACCUUUUUUUUUUUUCUUGGGUGAAUCUGUUUUUGAUUGUGCUUUUCCUCCUGAGGACCAGGGGUUUAUUUUCUUGACAAGUUGAUUUCUCGAAUUCAUUGUGUGCUGCAGGGCACAGAAGAUUUAAUCUCACAAGAGAGAUGCCCAGUAACGUAAAGCAAUGAUGUAAUGCCACCCAGCUCCCCCAUCGGGUCCUCCAGGGGAGAAAUAUCUACCUGAAACUUCUCCAGCUUCUUGACUGAUCAUAUUCAAACUCCGAUUUAUUUAUCUCUCUGUUUUGCAUAUCUCCAUCUGCACCGCUUCUUGCACAUCUCCAUGGAGAUGAAGAAACAAGGCUGGAUAAUGCCAUUCUGGCAUUGCCCAGCCGCUGACACGGGUCCCACCAGAUGCUGCACAACUGGGUGCAGAAACCAGCACCCACCCCAGGAGAUCCCAGCGAGGACCUGGUCCAGCUGCUCCUGCACAGCUGGCCACUAAAGACAGGAUUUCUAAAUGAGCCUGAGAAUUACACAUGCAAAUCCCAAAGGCCUGGAAUUGGGAACAUCUGAGCAACAAUUUGUCCUUGCUAAAGAUGGUGUUGGAGCCAAAAGGCUACAGAUUUCAGGCCUGUUAGACCGGGCAGCAUCCCUGCCUCCAGCUACCAACCCAUCUGCCAGCACCGGGCUCUGCGGUCAGGUUUUGUCCCCGUGGCUGGACAGACAGAUUUCUGCUGCACCGGGAGGCUGCACCUGGUGCUGCCCAGCACCGUGAGUUGCAGAAUUGCUGUUCUGUGCAGGCAUUUGGAGAUCGGGUGCCGUUGCUGAUUUAACUACGGGCCAAAGCCUGCAACGAGGUUUGGUGAACAAACUGGUGGGGGACCGGGGAGAGAUGACUUUACUCGGUAGGGAGAUGACAUUUUAAUUUGACUCAUUCCUGUCUCACUAUGACUGUCUGACCAGCAACGCACGGGUUUUGGUGUGCCAACAGCCCCUAGAUUCCCCCUACCUUACCUAUAUACCUAUAUAUUCCCACCCCCGCGUUACCUGAAAGGAGGGUAAUGUGAAAUUUUCACCUGCUCCCAGUGAUGCAAAGGGUUUCGUUAUCAGUGGGUUAAAUCCAUCUUGGUCUUUCCCUGUGGGCUGCCUGCUACCGCGGGCAAAGCAAGCAGGAUUCCUCCUGUGACAUUAAACGGGCUCCCAAAGCUGGUGGGCUACCGAGCUCACAGCCAUGGCCCACUGCAGCAGCCGUACGGCACGCCGGGGACGGCACCGUGCCACAAGUGUCAGCUCUCGGGUUUCCCUGGGGCUUGUCAAUGCAGAGUUUUACCCCGUAAGGGAUGGGAAGGGAUGCUGAAGCGAGGAGCUGGCGCUCAGGGGAAGCCCUCGUGUAAAACACGUAUCAAAACAGGGGUGCCUGUCGUGGCAGGGCUGACUUGGGAUUUCAGGAUCGCUGGUGCUGCCCAAAAGCUGUUGUGAAAUACGGCAUUGCUUUUGGGUUCCUAACAGAACAAGUGGGUUUUGGUUAGGGCUUGGGCACAUUCCCACUAGAAGAGAAGAACACCCACAAGCUCUCCUGUAUUUUAAACUUACGAGAAAGUCCUCAGUUAAGUUUCAGAAGAGCUGGGCUUUAAAAAUCAAACCACCUGAAUUAUCGUUUUUGGCUUAAUCCAGUAUUUCCCAGCCAGGCCGUGGUCCUCCCGCUCUUUCUUCCCGCUAGGCAAAUGCACCCGCACGCGCUGCUGGAAAUACUUACAUUCCCUGUUCCCCGUAGUGAUUGUAAAAUUCCAUGUGGCUGCAAGCCUGGAUCCAGCCCACGAUCCAGGUCUCCUUCUUGGGAAUAGG
Molecule: long non-coding RNA, 2852 nt
Organism: Haliaeetus leucocephalus (bald eagle)
Lineage: Eukaryota; Metazoa; Chordata; Aves; Accipitriformes; Accipitridae
Exons: 5
Source: RefSeq, a predicted model, not a curated record